Molecule: ribosomal RNA, 708 nt
Filed under: uncultured Methanosaeta sp.
Lineage: Archaea; Methanobacteriati; Methanobacteriota; Methanomicrobia; Methanotrichales; Methanotrichaceae
Description: bacterial SSU rRNA
Rfam family: Archaeal small subunit ribosomal RNA
Source: RNAcentral
AUAAACCCGGGAAACUGGGUAUAAUACCCGAUAGAUCUCGACUGCUGGAAUGCAUCGAGCUCCAAAGCUCCGGCGCUCAAGGAUGGGUCUGCGGCCUAUCAGGUAGUAGUGGGUGUAGCGUACCUACUAGCCUACGACGGGUACGGGUUGUGAGAGCAAGAGCCCGGAGAUGGAUUCUGAGACACGAAUCCAGGCCCUACGGGGUGCAGCAGGCGCGAAAACUUUACAAUGCUGGAAACAGCGAUAAGGGGACCUCGAGUGCCAGGUUACAAAUCUGGCUGUCGUGAUGCCUAAAAAGCAUUGCAUAGCAAGGGCCGGGCAAGACCGGUGCCAGCCGCCGCGGUAACACCGGCGGCUCGAGUGGUAACCGUUAUUAUUGGGUCUAAAGGGUCUGUAGCCGGCCGGAUAAGUCUCUUGGGAAAUCCAGCGGCUUAACUGUUGGGCUUUCAGGAGAUACUGUCUGGCUCGAGGCCGGGAGAGGUGAGAGGUACUUCAGGGGUAGGGGUGAAAUCUUGUAAUCCUUGAAGGACCACCAGUGGCGAAGGCGUCUCACCAGAACGGACCUGACGGCAAGGGACGAAAGCUGGGGCACGAACCGGAUUAGAUACCCGGGUAGUCCUAGCCGUAAACGAUACUCGCUAGGUGUCGGCCACGGUGCGACCGUUGUCGGUGCCGUAGGGAAGCCGUGAAGCGAGCCACCUGGGAAGU